Molecule: ribosomal RNA, 119 nt
Filed under: Pteropus alecto (black flying fox)
Lineage: Eukaryota; Metazoa; Chordata; Mammalia; Chiroptera; Pteropodidae
Source: RNAcentral
GUCUACGGCCAUGCCACCCUGAACAAGCCCGAUCCUGUCUGAUCUCCGAAGCUAAGCAGGGUCGGGCCUGGUUAGUACUUGGAUGGGAGACCACCUAGGAAGACCAGGUUCUGUAGGCG